GUUGCUGAAGAGUUAGAGAAACAGGUAACUAUCUCACAUCUGAUCUGCUCCUUGGACUCAGCUUUGGUGGCAAGGCUAUGGGGUUGUUCCUGAAUUUUAACAAGCUAAAAAACCAAAUAAAUAAAAGAGUAGAUAUAAAAUAUUGAGUCUGUUCUUGAGAGGAGACAAAUCUUCCUUGAAAGGGAGAUGUUUUAACAGUUAUAGAUCAAAAGAUGUAACAAGAUAAGGUCAAAAUUUUAUUUUGGAUUGGGGAAGGUUUGAAAAUUUUAU
RNAcentral lists this unclassified non-coding RNA (270 nucleotides) under Hevea brasiliensis (rubber tree). The record is from RNAcentral. Lineage: Eukaryota; Viridiplantae; Streptophyta; Magnoliopsida; Malpighiales; Euphorbiaceae.